RNAcentral lists this long non-coding RNA (278 nucleotides) under Vigna radiata. RNAcentral's name for it is "long non-coding RNA (VRAD_LNC002728)". Lineage: Eukaryota; Viridiplantae; Streptophyta; Magnoliopsida; Fabales; Fabaceae. The record is from RNAcentral.
GUUGAUGCGAGAGAAUGAUGAAAAUCUUGUAAAUAGGUAGGAGGCUUGUGGGGACGAGUUGAGCGACGUAAGGUUGGGGUAGGAACAUGAGAUGGAUUUGUAGAAGAAGGAGGUUGAUGUUGAUCAGUGGGAGGAGGAAAAGGAUCCAGUGUUGCAGAAUCAUAUGUGAAAGAUAAAGGUGUAAUGGUAGGAAUAGGUGUAUCUAUGGCAUCUGUUUGCAGGGAAGGAAAAUGAUCUUCAUAAAAGUAAACAUUGCGAGAGGUAACAAUGUUUCGAGU